CUUUUUUAAUCAUCACAGUGAGGGUGCAAGAUUUUCCAAUCUCAUGGAUAAUUCCAAAUUCAAACCCUGGCUCCUAGAGUCAAGAGUGGUAUCCAGGUUAUGGCGUCAUCACCAGAUGCUCAGGCACCCAGGCUAGAACCCUUGGAAUCAAGGACAUAACAAGAAGUCAGCAAUCUGCAAACCAGGAAAGAGCCUGCACCAGAGCCCAACAACGAUGCCACCCUGCUCUUGGACUUCCAGGCUCCAGA
RNAcentral lists this long non-coding RNA (248 nucleotides) under Homo sapiens (human). RNAcentral describes it as "HSALNT0335350". The record is from RNAcentral. Lineage: Eukaryota; Metazoa; Chordata; Mammalia; Primates; Hominidae.